RNAcentral lists this microRNA precursor (91 nucleotides) under Canis lupus familiaris (dog). RNAcentral describes it as "mir-8799 microRNA precursor family". It matches the Rfam family "mir-8799 microRNA precursor family". The record is from Rfam by way of RNAcentral. Lineage: Eukaryota; Metazoa; Chordata; Mammalia; Carnivora; Canidae. RNAcentral also lists the same sequence under 1 other name.
GGGGGGAGGCCGGAUCCUGGGCUGUGUCCCGGCGCCCUGUGCUCUGGGGCCUGCGCUGUUGGAUUCGUGCUCCCGGCCGCGCAGACACCCU